UACGAAGGGGGCGAGCGUUGUUCGGAUUUACUGGGCGUAAAGGGCGCGUAGGCUGUGCUGUAAGUCAGGCGUGAAAGCCCCGGGCUCAACCUGGGAAUUGCGCUUGAUACUGCGGCGCUGGAAGGUGGGAGAGGAUGGCGGAAUUCCCAGUGUAGAGGUGAAAUUCGUAGAUAUUGGGAAGAACACCGGUGGCGAAGGCGGCCAUCUGGCCCAUUUUUGACGCUGAGGCGCGAAAGCGUGGGGAGCAAACAGG
This 253-nucleotide ribosomal RNA is filed under the name uncultured bacterium. RNAcentral's name for it is "partial 16S ribosomal RNA". It matches the Rfam family "Bacterial small subunit ribosomal RNA", at positions 524 to 776 of the family's 1533-position model. The record is from RNAcentral.